GUGGGGGAAGAUGUGACCAAUAUAGCUGAUGGGAUGGAGACCGGGGCUGUAGACCUUGAGGUUAGGUUUCGGAAUCUGCUUAUUUUCCCCAUUAAAUAAGAUGACAAGAUAAUGUUUGCAUCGUUGAAAUUGAUACUUGAAGUAGGUGAAUGCCUCAUUAUUUCCUAUGCUAAUCCAAAAUAUUAUUAUCUCUCUUAACUUUUUUUUUUUCAAUUUUUCUUUUUAAAUUAGGAUGC
Molecule: long non-coding RNA, 236 nt
Filed under: Elaeis guineensis (African oil palm)
Lineage: Eukaryota; Viridiplantae; Streptophyta; Magnoliopsida; Arecales; Arecaceae
Description: long non-coding RNA (EGUI_LNC030300)
Source: RNAcentral